UCCGGUUUGUCACCGGCAGUCUCAUUAAAGUGCCCAACUGAAUGAUGGCAAUUAAUGACAAGGGUUGCGCUCGUUGCGGGACUUAACCCAACAUCUCACGACACGAGCUGACGACAGCCAUGCAGCACCUGUGUAUUCGUUCUCUUGCGAGCACUCUUCCAUCUCUGGAAGAUUCGAACCAUGUCAAGGGUAGGUAAGGUUUUUCGCGUUGCAUCGAAUUAAUCCACAUCAUCCACCGCUUGUGCGGGUCCCCGUCAAUUCCUUUGAGUUUUAAUCUUGCGACCGUACUCCCCAGGCGGUCUACUUCACGCGUUAGCUGCGUUACCAAGACAAUUAAGUCCCGACAACUAGUAGACAUCGUUUAGGGCGUGGACUAC
Molecule: unclassified non-coding RNA, 377 nt
Filed under: uncultured Gammaproteobacteria bacterium
Lineage: Bacteria; Pseudomonadati; Pseudomonadota; Gammaproteobacteria
Description: contains 16S-23S intergenic spacer region
Source: RNAcentral